ACGGGCCCCGCACAAGCAGCGGAGCGUGUGGUUUAAUUCGAUGCUACACGAAGAACCUUUACCAGGGUUUGACAUGCAAGUGGUAGGAAACCGAAAGGUGACCGACCCUUCGGGGAGCUUGCACAGGUGCUGCAUGGCUGUCGUCAGCUCGUGUCGUGAGAUGUUCGGUUAAGUCCGCUAACGAGCGCAACCCUCGCUGUGUGUUAUAUGUGUCACACGGGACUGCCGGUCUUAAGCCGGAGGAAGGUGGGGAUGAUGUCAAGUCAGCAUGGCCUUUAUAUCCUGGGCUACACACACGCUACAAUGGCCAGCACAGUAGGUUGCUAAGCCGCGAGGUGGAGCCAAUCCAUAAAGCUGGUCUCAGUUCAGAUUGCAGGCUGCAACCCGCCUGCAUGAAGUCGGAAUCGCUAGUAAUCGCAGGUCAGCAUACUGCGGUCGAAUACGUUCCCGGGCCUU
This 456-nucleotide ribosomal RNA is filed under the name uncultured Leptolinea sp. Its description in RNAcentral is "bacterial SSU rRNA". It matches the Rfam family "Bacterial small subunit ribosomal RNA", at positions 916 to 1381 of the family's 1533-position model. Lineage: Bacteria; Bacillati; Chloroflexota; Anaerolineae; Anaerolineales; Anaerolineaceae. The record is from RNAcentral.